Pongo abelii (Sumatran orangutan) is the source of this 148-nucleotide unclassified non-coding RNA. It matches the Rfam family "Metazoan signal recognition particle RNA". From Rfam's summary of the family: The signal recognition particle (SRP) is a universally conserved ribonucleoprotein. It is involved in the co-translational targeting of proteins to membranes. The record is from Ensembl. Lineage: Eukaryota; Metazoa; Chordata; Mammalia; Primates; Hominidae.
GCCGGGCGUGGUGGCGGGCGCCUGUAGUCCCAGCUACUUGGGAGGCUGAGACAGGAGAAUCGCUUGAACCCAGGAAGUGGAGCUUGCAGUGAGCCGAGAUCGCGCCACUGUACUCCAGCCUGGGUGACAGAGCGAGACUCCGUCUUAA